AAGUUUAUGUCACAAAUAUAGACUCUAAGAAUCAAAAUGACCAAAAUGUUUUAUUAAAGAGAUAAAUAUACACUUAUAUCCGUACGGUUAACUAAUCCAAAUCUUAGGGUUAACUAAUCCAAACUUUAGGGUUUAGAGUUAAGGGGUGAGGAUUUGAGAUUGAGUUUUAAAAUUUUAUAAAAUAAAAAAUAAAUAUGAAAAUAGAAAUUUCUAAAAUAGUUUCAAAAAAUAUUUUUGAAUUACAAAAAGAAAAUUUGAAAAAUAAAAAAAUUAAUUUUUUUUAUAAAAAAAUUCGAAUUUGAAAACAUAUAAUCUGUGUUUC
Molecule: long non-coding RNA, 322 nt
Filed under: Brassica rapa (field mustard)
Lineage: Eukaryota; Viridiplantae; Streptophyta; Magnoliopsida; Brassicales; Brassicaceae
Description: long non-coding RNA (BRAP_LNC001484)
Source: RNAcentral